GCUUUUGAGGCUAAGUUGGAGUCAUAUACAUGUAUGCAGAUAUCAAUAUCAUGCAGUAAUGUCUACCAGACAAACCUUACUAGGAGGACAAGAGUUCAAGCAGCUAUAUAUCGAUGAAUGGAACUCAUACGAGCUGGGUGAGGAGGGGAUGACAUCAACCCAUUCUUUUUCUACCAUCUGCACAUACUGAUUUGGCUUUAAAAUGGCUUCAAAUUGAAGUUUGUCUAUCUUCUUAGUCAAUUUCCUUGCAAAAUCAAUGGAAAAUACUAUGUUGAAGUGUUCUUCCAAGUAGCCAACAUCCCUGAAGACUUGGAUCCCCGCAUUGGCUUCACGAGACUUGGUAAAACCAAGUAGCAUCUCCCCAUUAAUAAAUUCUUGAUUGCCAGAACAUACCUGAAUAUACUCCACACCCAUCACAUGUAAAUGCUCUAGUAGGUUCUGUGAUGAAAGCACAGUAACAAUUCCUGCA
RNAcentral lists this unclassified non-coding RNA (469 nucleotides) under Hevea brasiliensis (rubber tree). Lineage: Eukaryota; Viridiplantae; Streptophyta; Magnoliopsida; Malpighiales; Euphorbiaceae. The record is from RNAcentral.